This 274-nucleotide ribosomal RNA is filed under the name uncultured bacterium. RNAcentral describes it as "partial 16S ribosomal RNA". It matches the Rfam family "Bacterial small subunit ribosomal RNA", at positions 82 to 354 of the family's 1533-position model. The record is from RNAcentral.
CGCCUGCCGGCGACCGGCGCACGGGUGAGUAACACGUAUGCGACCUGCCCCCGCAGGGGAUAACCGGGAGAAAUCCCGACUAAUACCGCGUAACGCCGCGGACCUGCAUGGGUCUGCGGCCAAAGGAAGCGAUUCCGGCGGGGGAUGGGCAUGCGGCGCAUUAGCUAGUCGGCGGGGUAACGGCCCACCGAGGCGACGAUGCGUAGGGGUUCUGAGAGGAAGGUCCCCCACAUUGGAACUGAGACACGGUCCAAACUCCUACGGAAGGCAGCAG